GAGUUAGGGUCCUUUUGGGCCUGACCUCCAACCCUUUGUCUAUCUUACCUCAUGUUGCUUCGGCGGGCCCGUCUUUAAACGGACCGCCGGAGGGUUUAAUUACCCUCUGGCCCGCGCCUGCCGAUAGCCCCCAAUUAAACUCUUGUUAAGAAACGUGUCGUCUGAAGUAUACAAACAAAAUAAAUAAAAACUUUCAACAACGGAUCUCUUGGUUCU
RNAcentral lists this unclassified non-coding RNA (216 nucleotides) under rhizosphere metagenome. RNAcentral's name for it is "partial ribosomal RNA internal transcribed spacer region". The record is from RNAcentral.